UUUGAGUUCAUGGAGGGAGUGAAGAUCUGGUAACUGACUGGUAGAUAAGGCUGUCUCUUUUAACCCAAUAAUUCCAAGAUCAGCUCCAAUCUCCACCUCAGAGGUUGCCCUAYGUUUAUCAGAAGGGGAACAGGAAACUGAACAAUACUAUUGCAGGGGUUCGGGGAGAGCUGCAGUUGCAUCUGUUUCUGCCCCUCACCAAGCUGCAUUGUUGACAUCAGCAUCUUUGCAUUCUGCAUUAUGGUGCAAUGGAAGAAAGAGAAGAAAUCUGAAUGUCACAGCAAGCUGGACAAUGUGAAGAAUAAAGGUGUACAAGAGCUUAUAUUUAUUUUCUUGACGUAUAAACCAAGAAAAAUAAGGAGGAAGAAAAAUACAUAUGUCCCCAAAUUCCCAGGCUAAUGAAUAUGCCAAAAUGACUCAUUUUCUGUCAUGUUUUUAAAAAGACAUUGUGCCUAGCUGUUCUUCUGAUUUUGUAACUAGAAUAUAGUGGAUCAGAGCRAAUCUGUAAGAUUGCAUUAGCUGGAAUAUUCACGGGAACUGGGGAGGUAUAGCUCACAGCACGCCUUUUUCCUGGUAAAUGCAUGUGUAAUGCUUUACAAAGUUCCUUAAACUGUUGGGAAUGCUUAGAAACUGAGUGUAUUCUUUCCAAUCAGUUARUUAUUUUUCCUUAAUUGAAUUCAAACCUGAAUCACAAAUAGGUUGGACUUGGCCUGAGAAGUGGUGAGUUGGAGAGAUAUUAUUUUACAAUCAAUUUCCCUUUAAUUUCUACAUUGUGCUGUAGUGCUAUAGCCUACCCUGGCAAAUACAUUGAUUCUCGGUGUAAGGAGGCUGACUGCAGGGAGAGGCAAAAAAAUAGAAUGUGCCGGUCGGAUCUGUCUUCUAAAAUUGCUUUGUCCCAUGAGCUAUUUCAAACUGUUUCUUAAGAGACUCUGAAACUAAAUCACUUGGGAGACUUGAUCCCUCACUAUACAGAACAAGAAUAACUCUACCUGUGUUGCUGCUGACUGACUGAACACAGAAUUGUGAUUAGGGGCGUUUAUAGAAGUAUUAUCUGUCUACUUUGUAUUAUGCUUUUUUCUUGUGUUCACUGGAAGAGCUUCCAAAUGUUUGAGUGCAUGUGUCUGUUAACCUUGUUGACAGCAGGCAAAAGGAGCUGCCGGAGGAUGAAUUUGGUUCAUUUAUAUGUAUCUGCCUCUUAKUUAAUGGCAUACUGCUAUGUCCUUCCCUAGUCUUCUCUAAUGCUGCAUAAGAGCUAACUUCUGUGUGUGUCUUACACUUUCUAGGUUUCUGGUCAUGCAGUAUGUGGACUCUACUCCACUGGUGAUUCUAAAUGUGGAAGGAUGCUGUCCAGUUUAGCACUGGCAAAAACUUGGUUGAACAAAGUGAUUGUGAACAAGGUUACUCUCUAUGCAUUCCAGCAUGAUGCUUUUCUUAUACAAUGUCAUGGUAUUAAUUUGUGCAUGUCACAAACCUAGUUCUCAGACCUUCUUCAAGAAUUGCUUUUGGCAGUUGUUUCCUGUCUUCAGAUAUUGUAUAGAUCCUCCUGUCUUGUCAUUUGUGGUAAGAUUUCAUGUUAGGUCAAGAUGCUCAUUGUGGGAAAGAAUUCCUCCCUACUGUUUCCUGAGCUGUAAAGUCAACGUACUUAGGAAUGCAUGAAAUUGUCCUUAAUUAGCAGAAUUGCUAACUUCAGGUUUGSAGGUGGGAUUUAGGUAUUCUACUAAAUUCUGCUUUAAGAGUUGGAACUUGACUUUCAGGUCUAGAAUAAGUUUGCCUGGCUUUGAAUAGAUUUGGUUAAUUAAA
Molecule: long non-coding RNA, 1800 nt
Organism: Nothoprocta perdicaria
Lineage: Eukaryota; Metazoa; Chordata; Aves; Tinamiformes; Tinamidae
Exons: 4
Source: RefSeq, a predicted model, not a curated record